CCGGGAGUCGCGCUAGGACCUGGAGGGCUAGUCGGCGGGCUGCGCGUCCGGCCGCUAGCUGAGCUGGAGGCCACCGGCCAGAGCCGACCCCAGGAGUGAGAGAGACAGGGGCGUGCGUGAGUUCCGGCGGCCUGCACCGGGCAAACCCCGUACCUUCCCAGCAUCGGCUCAGCAACCCACGUGCAUCCAGGCCGGUCAAUGUCAUUGAGUCACCUCCGCGCCUUGGCCACCCUGGAGUCCCGAGAAUCCGAAGUUCCAGACAAAUGCCCAAACUACAUUCCUGCAUGUUCGAAAGCGUAAAUUGCAAAGCACAAAUCCAGGGCCACCUGGAUCUGCCUAUA
This 341-nucleotide long non-coding RNA is filed under the name Homo sapiens (human). Its description in RNAcentral is "non-protein coding lnc-ZIC5-3:2". Lineage: Eukaryota; Metazoa; Chordata; Mammalia; Primates; Hominidae. The record is from RNAcentral.